GGCCGAAUGGUUCUUAUCUGCCGUCACAUUCUAUGUUUCUAUGUUAUAGCUACUAUUUCAGCUGGGUUGGUUACCCUUACAGAUCAUUUGUGAGUUACACCCUUUCCAUACAUAUUUAUCAACAUAGAAACAUAGAAUGUGACGGCAGAUAAGAACCAUUCGGCC
Pelobates cultripes (western spadefoot toad) is the source of this 165-nucleotide non-coding RNA. Lineage: Eukaryota; Metazoa; Chordata; Amphibia; Anura; Pelobatidae. The record is from the annotation of a GenBank genome assembly.